GCCGGAGUGGCGGAAUUGGCAGACGCGCUGGAUUCAAAAUCCAGUUCCCCCUAAAGGAGUGUGGGUUCAAGUCCCUCCUCCGGCAC
RNAcentral lists this transfer RNA (86 nucleotides) under Phycisphaerae bacterium. Its description in RNAcentral is "tRNA-Leu". It matches the Rfam family "tRNA". Rfam says of the family: Transfer RNA (tRNA) molecules are approximately 80 nucleotides in length. Lineage: Bacteria; Pseudomonadati; Planctomycetota; Phycisphaerae. The record is from RNAcentral.